This 355-nucleotide ribosomal RNA is filed under the name uncultured bacterium. RNAcentral describes it as "bacterial SSU rRNA". It matches the Rfam family "Bacterial small subunit ribosomal RNA", at positions 30 to 377 of the family's 1533-position model. The record is from RNAcentral.
AUUGAACGCUGGCGGCAGGCCUAACACAUGCAAGUCGAACGGUAACAGGAAGAAGCUUGCUUCUUUGCUGACGAGUGGCGGACGGUGAGUAAUGUCUGGGAAACUGCCUGAUGGAGGGGGAUAACUACUAGGAAACGGUAGCUAAUACCGCAUAAACGUCGCAAGACCAAAGAGGGGGACCUUCGGGCCUCUUGCCAUCGGAUGUGCCCAGAUGGGAUUAGCUAGGUAGGUGGGUAACGGCUCACCUAGGCGACGAUCCCUAGCUGGUCUGACGAGGAUGACCAGCCACACUGGAACUGAGGACACGGUCCAGACUCCUACGGGAGCAGCAGUGGGGAAUAUUGCACAAUGGGAC